Molecule: long non-coding RNA, 860 nt
Organism: Notolabrus celidotus (New Zealand spotty)
Lineage: Eukaryota; Metazoa; Chordata; Actinopteri; Labriformes; Labridae
Exons: 3
Source: RefSeq, a predicted model, not a curated record
CGGCCCUGGACCAAUGAGUCUCCUCUGUGCUUCCCUGCUACAGGAUGCUAUGGCCAGGAGGGGUUAACACCAGGAAGAGGCUAAAUGCCUACUUUAGCUCUGUCCAACCUUAGCCAUCAUCCAAUCACCACAGCCUACAAGAACCCUACACCAACAUCCAGUCCCUGCCGGAUCGUUAUGCCUACAUGGACCCUUCAGCUACAAGCUCUGCCACCGUCUUCACUCUGCUGCCUGUUGACCAACGUCAGGAUCCCUCAGCACCCCAGGACCCCCACCAGCUAUCCCCUCACCCUGCACUUAAACAAUAAACUUUGGGAAAGAAAAGUCUUAGUCUGCUUUUUGGGUUCUGCCAUAAAUAUGUGACAGAUUUAGAACCAAUUUAGAUUUGUUUUUGCUCCAUUUAACUCAAAGUCACAAAAAUGAACCCUAAAUGUUGGCACAUGACAAGCUGAAGCGAAACACUAAUCAUAAGCAUUAAAUUAGCUUAAACUGCCUGAUUAAUAUUGUGAGCAUGCUGACGCUAGCAUUCAACUCUAAGCAUCACAGGGCCACUAGCGUAACUGUAGGCUAUUGUAUGGAUUCAAAAUGUUUUACUCUCUCUCUCUUAUGCACCAUUUCAUUCACACACUCAACACACACUCAUGUAUUUGCAUGUUCCAACUGCUCGUUUAAGAAAUCACUGUAUGUGGCUUGUUUCCAGGUCAAACAGCACAGACAGAAGUAGACCUCAUCUUGUCCCCCAGUAGUGCUUGUCUCAUUACAUCAUUCACUGUCUGUAACACAUACUCCUCUCAUAUUUACGUCAUCUAACCUCAUUUAGUUGCUUGCUGGUUCUCACAUGGGAAAAAAAAAGCAAUAAA